GGGUUGACCUCGAAUCCAGGUAGGAAUA
This 28-nucleotide ribosomal RNA is filed under the name Daldinia theissenii. Its description in RNAcentral is "partial 28S ribosomal RNA". Lineage: Eukaryota; Fungi; Ascomycota; Sordariomycetes; Xylariales; Hypoxylaceae. The record is from RNAcentral.